Molecule: non-coding RNA, 719 nt
Organism: Schizosaccharomyces pombe (fission yeast)
Lineage: Eukaryota; Fungi; Ascomycota; Schizosaccharomycetes; Schizosaccharomycetales; Schizosaccharomycetaceae
Source: the annotation of a GenBank genome assembly
CACUCAACCACGAUGAAGGCAGCAGCAUGGAAAAUGCUGAAAAAAGAAAUGUAAAUGUCAAUUAUACGGCUGAAUAGUCAGACGUUUUAACAAGCCGGGUGUAAAAAUUUUUUUGAUCUAUUCAAGCGCUGCUUUAUUUUUAUAAAAUAUGUACUGGCAUUGUUGAAAGCUGACUUUUAGUUCAUCAUGAACAAAAUAAUAUAUUUCGGCUUUCCGAAUCGUUAAAAUGCAAGAAGUAAUUAAUGUUACAAAAAAUUAAAGAUGCCAUUUACUUCAACCACUCCUCGUCUAUUGUUUUCAUACACAAAUGAAACGGAAACCGUGUAACCUUGCUACAUACUUUUAAUACAAUUAACACUUUACGGACUACGUGGAAAGUGUAAGACAAAAGCAGAAUAGCAUAAGUCCUUUAUUCAUGAUAUAAGUGCUGAGAACGGAGCUUACUCAUCCAAGCAUAUAGACACACAAUGCUCUUUUUUUUUUAAAGAAUGCUUGAAUGGGCACACGUAGCCGAUGUACUGAAGGCAUAUUUACUAACUGAUUCAUUACCUAUAAUUUGAGUUAGUCUAACCAUGAUAGGUCAUUAGUUAAAUGACUCGUAUUUGCGAAAUAGAAACCAAAUAUUAUUUAUGAUGCAGUAAACGAUGAAUAAAUCCAAUAAAUGAAAGAUUUAGAGAUUGAACUUUAACGAAAUAAGAAGGGCUUGAGGAAGAUGCGAG